Hydra vulgaris (swiftwater hydra) is the source of this 758-nucleotide long non-coding RNA. RefSeq lists it as uncharacterized. The record is from RefSeq and is a predicted model, not a curated record. NCBI's taxonomy places the organism in Eukaryota, Metazoa, Cnidaria, Hydrozoa, Anthoathecata, Hydridae.
AAAUACAAUAUCUAAAAUAUAAACAAACAAAACAUUUAGAUCUAUAACUAAUGGAAAAGUGCAGCACAAGUUUCGAAUCUAGUCGAGAAAGUCCCGUUGCCGAUGCCCUCUUGAGUAUCAGGUACAAGAGAUUAAGUCAAAAUUCAAACUGUGUUAUGGUUUAUAUAUGAGUGAAGCUUGUUUUGACUACUUAAAAAAAUGUGACAUCGGUUUAUAAAAAUAUGGCAUCGGUAAAAUGAGAAAAUUUUAACGAUAAAGUGCGGGAACAAAGUAAAGAAAUAGAAUUAAGAGAUUCGGUGCUUCAGUACAUACAUCGACUGAUUUAAGGAGAACAUGCAAAGAAGAGCUGCUACAUCAUCUGAGGGUUUGGGUUGGGACAAAGAUAUGGUAGGAUUAGGAGAAAAAAAUUGCCCGUGCAUCUCAGUUGACCGCCAUCCCGCAACCUUUUAUUUCACAUUUCGUUUCCUUACAUUUUGUGCAUGCAAUGAGUAGUUUUCAAGAAAUUUUAAUUGCUCUGUUUCUUUUCAUUAGUCAUAAAAUUGAACCGAGAAGAACUAAGAGCACAGAGCACUGAGGAAAAGAAUUUAACCAGGAAGUUCAUGCCUUCUUAUCAAUCAACCAGAUACAGAAGAAGCAUCGAACGUUGAACUUCUUGGUUCUGAGCUGGAACUAUAAUCGCUGCUCUAUGAUUAGAUUUUGUUUUUUUGAUUAUAUCAUUUUUCAAAGUGUGAAACUAUAUUAAAUAAAACUAUUUUAAA